This 475-nucleotide ribosomal RNA is filed under the name uncultured bacterium. RNAcentral's name for it is "partial 16S ribosomal RNA". It matches the Rfam family "Bacterial small subunit ribosomal RNA", at positions 28 to 507 of the family's 1533-position model. The record is from RNAcentral.
GAUGAACGCUAGCGGCAGGCCUAACACAUGCAAGUCGAGGGAUAAGCCUUCGGGCUAAGGCCGGCGCACGGGUGCGUAACGCGUAUACAAUCUGCCUUUUAUCCGGGGGAUAGCCCGAAGAAAUUUGGAUUAAUACCCUAUGGUAUAAGAGCACGGCAUCGUGCACUUAUUAAAGCUACGGCGGUAAAAGAUGAGUAUGCGUUCUAUUAGCUAGUUGGAGAGGCAACGGCUCCCCAAGGCGACGAUAGAUAGGGGUUCUGAGAGGGAUGUCCCCCACACUGGUACUGAGAUACGGACCAGACUCCUACGGGAGGCAGCAGUGAGGAAUAUUGGACAAUGGUCGGAAGACUGAUCCAGCCAUGCCGCGUGCAGGAUGACGGCCUUAUGGGUUGUAAACUGCUUUUGUAAGGGAAGAAUAAGGAGUACGUGUACUUUGAUGACGGUACCUUACGAAUAAGCAUCGGCUAACUCCGUG